GUUCCUUAUUUCCUUUGUGAAUCUGCAACUCUACUUGUGUCCAUGGUGUCGAAUCUGGCGCUUCUCUAGUGCUUCUAAGACGUGGACAAUGUCUUCUUCUGUGUCUGGAAACAAGGGCGUGUCUGGCCCAAAUAAGUGUGUCUGACACUGCGUUGUGCACACACUUGACAGGUGUCCAUAUCCGCACACAUCUGAAGGGAAACACAGCUCAAAGGCCAUGUCGGAGCUUCAUAGGUUGUAUUUGGGUUUAUUUCAUGAAAGAUAGGUCUAAACUAUUGAAAUUUUUUGAGAUUUAAUUACUGAAAUUAAAAACCAAUUUGGCCAAGUAAUCAAGAUCUUAGGGGGUGAUAAUGCCAAAGAAUUUU
RNAcentral lists this small RNA (365 nucleotides) under Vigna angularis var. angularis. RNAcentral describes it as "Non-protein coding transcript". Lineage: Eukaryota; Viridiplantae; Streptophyta; Magnoliopsida; Fabales; Fabaceae. The record is from RNAcentral.